AGUUCUUGGAAGCAGACGAACUUGAGCGGCAGGGAAACGAAGUUAGGGAAUGGGAAUUAAAAAAAAAAAGAAAGUUACCUUAUCUCUUUUCGUAGCUCAUCUUCUGCGGCUUGAUUUUCUCCAGGGCAAAUCUUGGCCCGAAACUUCCUGUAAUUCUGCUCACCUUCUCGCUGCUGCUCUUGGCGACAUAACUGCUUUAUCCGAUUGGCUAAAGAACGCAUGGAAAAGUCAAGGGGCACUAUUUUCUUCUCAAUGUCAACAGCGACAUCCACCUCGGCCGCUGCCACGCUCUGCGUUGCCACCGGCUCUGGGGGGACGUCGGGCACCCCUUCCUUCUUAAAACGCUUGGGGUUUGGGGAUGAGGCGUUCGGGGGCUGAGGCCGGUGGAGGCCGCCAGCCUCUUGGUCUAAAGUGCCAAGAGCAGGUGCAGGGGCCUCUUCACAAGACUCCACGUGUUCUUGCGAAAACCCGUCCUCGGGGGCGCUUGCCGCAGGGUCGCUGCUGGGGUGGCUGCCCGUUUCGGGGGCGCUGGAGCCCUCCCCGGAGCCGGCGGAGGCGCUGCUGUGCCCCGAGGCCUCCUCCGAGGCCUCCCCUGGGCCCAUCGGGUCAGAGGGCGCCCGGGGGGAAGCCACCCCCUCCUCCCUCGGUUCCGAGAUGCGCCUGCGGGAGCAGAGGGGCCCGGGGGCGCCGCCUUUCUGCCGCGGAGAAACCCGCCUGGAGUCCGCGGUCUUGGCGCCCCGAGGCUUGUUCUCGGGCGCCUGCCGCAGGGAAAAGGCCUCUCUCAGUCUGGAAAUGGUCACUGCCCUUUUCUCUUGUCCCGCAGCCUUCAACGGGGCGGGAUGCUCCUGCUUCUCCAGCCCAGGCCUUUCCGUUUCUGCCGGAUGCCGUUUUAUUAACGUCAUUAUCAAACAUGUCUAUCAAAGACGUCUUCAAAACUGCCAGCAAAAGCUUCUCCUCCUGUAGUAAAAUCUGCCUCUUAUCCGGAGUAACGUUGAUAUCGACACAUUCUGAAUCAACAGAAAUGUUAAGGACAACGAAAGGAUACUGAUGCCGAUUGUACAGGUGAUAGACCUCAUUCACCAGUCUGGAAACCUGCACAAAACCCAGCAAUUAGAGGCCUUCCCGUCGUGGCUCAGCGGUGAACAAACCCCACUAGUGUCCAUGAGGACUUGGGUUCGAUCCCUGGAACCUCCAUAUGCAGUGGGUGUGGCCCUAAAAGGACAAAAGACAAAAAAAUAAUAAUUUAAAAAAAUAAAAAAACCCACAACAAUUAGAAAAGAAUAGCA
RNAcentral lists this long non-coding RNA (1286 nucleotides) under Sus scrofa (pig). RNAcentral's name for it is "lncRNA (ENSSSCG00060074744.1)". The record is from RNAcentral. Lineage: Eukaryota; Metazoa; Chordata; Mammalia; Artiodactyla; Suidae.